This 4893-nucleotide transfer RNA is filed under the name Sus scrofa (pig). RNAcentral's name for it is "lncRNA (ENSSSCG00055025199.1)". Lineage: Eukaryota; Metazoa; Chordata; Mammalia; Artiodactyla; Suidae. The record is from RNAcentral.
UUUUUUUUUUUUUUUUUUUUUUUUGUAUUUUGUCUUUUUAGGGCUGCUUCCAAGGCAUAUAUGGAGGUUCCCAGGCCAGGGGUCCAAUUGGAGAUGUAGCUCCUGGCCUACACCACAGACAGUAACGUGGGAUCCAAGCCACGCCUGCGCACUACACCACAGCUCACAGCAACACGGGAUCCUUAACCCACUGAGCAAGGCCAGGGAUCGAACCUGCAUCUUCAUGGAUGCUAAUCAGAUUCGUUUCCACUGAGCCAUGAUAGCAACUCCGAUAACCAUCCUUUUUUAACCUAUUAAUUUACUUCCUUUACUUCGAUGUUUGUAGAAAUAACAUAAAUUGAAGGAGAAACACAUCAUAUCACUAAAAUAAAUCAAAUGAAUUAGAAGUCAGAAGUAGUGAAACAACCUUAACCAUUUAUAACUAUCAAUAAGACGAAUUUCUCCGAAACGCAUGGCUUAGUUCUGAAUUUCUCAAGUUCAUGUUCUGGUUUUUGGAAAAGGUUCUGUUUAAGUUCAUUUAUUUCAAAAAAACGAAAAAUAGGAGAAUUCUUGACAACUUCACUGUCUUCAGCAGUUUAGCUUUCUUACCUGCAUUUUUUAAAUUACUCUGGUAAAUUAAAACGAGAUGUCUGUUAACACACAUGUCUCACUAAGAGGUUAUAAACAGUGUAUCUCCAGAAUAAUUUAGUAACAUUAUCCAGAAAAAGGGACUCGUCCCCAAGACUUCAAAGUGAACCUACGUCUAUACCCGCAAACGAACACAACACGCCUGGUGCAAAAGAAGCUCCCACUGAGCAGACAAAUCAGCCUUAAACACUGCUGACCUUAAACAUCAGUUCGAUAUUCUAAUAUUUUCUUUAACCACAUGCACUUUUAGGAGUAAUACACCCAUGCACUGUCGAGGACUCUUAAGGCCCCACCCGGUACGUGGCCACUUUCAGAAUACAAACGUCUGCGCUCCAGGUCUCGCUCUCGGGAGAUGUGUUAGUGCUGAGGGCAAGCAAACCCCAAAGAGCAGCAGACAACACCCUCACACAGUCAGGGGCUGGCACAACCUAGAGCCACGCCGGAGGACAGACAAGCGCCAGAAGACGUGAGCCCGUAUCAGACAACACACCGGCCUCCCCGGCUGCCUGCAAUACCAGACGCCACUGCUGUGAGCCAGAAACUGGCCCAGGAGGAAGCGGCCUAGGUCACAGCCCGAGUGACUCAGCUGCGUCUUCGGCUAGGCUGUGGUCAGCACCCUCUAACAACAAAGAGGUAAGAUGCUGACAUCUUACUACUGGUGACUAAAAAUUAAAAUAUAGGUAUUUACAAAUAAAAAUGAGCAAAUACAUACUAUGUACAGUAUAUGCUGAAAUCUACCUUUCUAUAACAUCUUAAAUGUUGCAUAGCUGUUCAUUUUACAGCCCUAGUUGGAAAACACCAUGAAUGCAGACUUUAAUACCGACCUUAGACUAUAUCCUCAAUCAGCUCAAACCAAAACUCUUAAAACCAAUCACUAAACACUCUAGGGCAGCAGCUCACAAACUGCAAUUCAGGAAUCCCUGGAGUCCCCUCAGACCCUUUCAGGGCAACUGCUAGGUAGAACCCUUUUCACACUAAUACUCAGGCAUACCAGCCUCUUCCUAGUGUCACCAGUUACCCUGGCAGGUGAGAAGGAACGAUGGAGAAACCCGAUGGCACGUGGCCCCAAACCACAGCAGCGGCACUCAACUGUACAAACAGUCAGUGCGCUUUUCACUGCUCUGCAGUCACAGUCAAAAAGGGGGGAGGCGGUCUCACUGGAUGUCUUUGAUGGGGAGCUCCUUGGUGGUCCAGGGGUUAGGAUUUGGUGCUUUCACUGCUUCCGCCCAGGUUCGAUCCCUGGUCUAGGAACUGAGAUCCCACCUCAAGCUGCUGCAUGCCAAGGCCAAAAAGGAGGGGGGGGGGUUAGAGAAAAAAACAAAGAUUGUAUUAAACUUGGACUCUUAAGAAUGUCUGUUCAAUAUUCUACUUGCCAAAGUCUAAUUCUACUUAGGGAGUUCCCACUGUGGUGCAGUGGGUUAAGAACCUGACUGCAGCAGCUUGGGUGGCUGCUGACACAUGGUUGGAUCCCUAGCCCAGCGCAGUGGGUUAAGGACCCAGCAUUGCCACAGCUGUGGCGUAGGUUUCCGCUGCAGCUCAGAUUUGAUCCCUGGUCUGGGAACGUCCAUGCCUCAGGUGUGGCCAAAUAAUAAAAUUUAAUUUAAAUAAGAAAAAUUUUUAAAAAGAGCUCCUACUUGGGCCACUUGUCAAAGCUGGACGGCUCUCAGGAGAAGUGCUGGUGCAGCUGUGUCACUGUGAGCUCAAGAGGCCGCCACGUCUACCUGGAGGGUGGCUGACACGCUGGCCACUCAGGUCUGGACCCCUGGCAGGCCGUCCCUGAGAAACGACGAGGAGAGCCGGGACCUCCAAGCGCCGCCUACGGCAGGGCUGCCAGGAAGCAAAGCUGAGCCCUGACGGCAGCACCAUCCCGGAAAACGCGACGUCACUGCUGACUGAGUGUGACAGCUUCCCGCCACGACGACGACGUUUCUCGUCGGGGACAUGAACAAGGGUGGUGCUUCUGCGUUGUUUAAAGACAUGAUCGACACUCGGAACUUCCGCGCAACUCAGUGAAGCCCUGCUCUCCAGACGGUCCGUGCCGCCCUGGGUACACGACCCACUCCAAGCGCAGGGCAGCCAAACGGGUCUCAGCCCCGGGGUGUGAAAACCACUCAACAGCAUCUUCCAAGGGAGAGCUGGGGCCAGAAAUGAACCUAAGGGACUCCAGCUCAAACUGGAAACCUUCACAGAACUGGUUCUUACUUUUAUCACCAAUGCCUCUUAAAAAUAAUCACCCCAGGUAUCUGCCAACACAAAAACUCACUGAAGUGAAAAAUAGGCGAUAUAACACGACCUGAGAACACACUGAGGAGCUCAGGCAAAAUCACGGUGUAUCGUAAAUGUGCGUAAAAUCAUGGUAGAUUUUAUUUAUUUAUUUUUAUCUUUUUUUAGGGCUGCACCCACGGCAUAUGGAAGUUUCCAGGCUAGGGGUCGACUCACUGCAGUUGCGCCGGCCUACGCCACAGCCACAGCAACGUGGGAUCCGAGCCGCAUCUGUGACCUAUGUCACAGCUCAUGGCAAUGCCAGAUACUUAACCCACGGAGCGGGGCCAGGGAUCGAACCCUUGUCCUCAAGGAUACUAGUCGGGUUCGUUACGGCUGAGCUACGACGGGAACUCCCAAAUCAUGGUAGAUUUUAGAAGCACUUUUCUAGAAGUCUGGAGCAGUCAGAAAUUUAUUCAGAUGAGUAUCAAUAGCCACCUAAAAUAAUGUAUCUGAGAGACACCUUCCCAAUGUAGAGGAAGUGACGCGUUUUAAGAAUACAGUGGUUUUAAACAUUUGACCGUGUCCAACGUGACCGCUGCGCCCACUGCAUCUUCUCGACUGAACACAUGGAACUAGAUCCCACGCAAGGCCAAGAGGGGGUCAAAACGGCCACCCCAAGUCUCAGUACCGAAAGCUGACAACAGCAGCACAAAGGGAAAGGACAAGGUAGAAACUGUGCUGGUUCUCCUGUAAAAUCAGAAGAUAAAAAGAGUAACAGGAAGGUCAUUGCUCAAAGUACCACUAUUAGCGAAAAGGCGUCAAGAGAAAAUACAUUCUUUAAAGGAACAAAUGGUUUAAAUUUGCAAAGAACAAACGUCUUAUUUUCCUUUAACAGAACAUAUGUGAAAUUAAGCAACAAGGACCUAUAAGCUGUGAUUCCGGGUAAAAAAAAAAAAAAAACCAACUAGACUGCUGUUAACUAGCAAACUAGUCAAACAACAGUAAUGAAUGAGCAUUUUUUUCACGGGUCUUUGAUUUUCAGGGUCAGACUCUGCUCCGCCACAAAAAACAAGGACACUCUCCGGUGGAGUUUUAGGAAGCAAGGCAAGACCUCUCAUUCGGAAAGACCUGUCCCCGUGCGGCUGUCCCACCACAGACGGCGGCAGAGCCAGACAACAGCGACACGUCCUCUUCCGUCCAGGUGGCUUCCGUCCAACCCAGGAGGAAGAUGCCUUUAAAAGCAUCAAGAAAAUGGCUGACACCUUGUGACAACGGCCCUGUCCAGCCCGUCAGGUUGGGGAAGUUCGGGGCUUCAGAAAUGGAAAAAGCAACGUGAGCACGGUGGCCUGCGCACACACCCAGAGGCCCCCCGGCGCACACCCGAGUCCCGUUCAGGCCUGACGACGGACCCCACGUGGUGACGCCAACCAGGAGGCAGCGAGGACACUCAGAAGGCAGAGCCUGCUGUGUGCAUUCAGCCUAAAAACAGGACAAUGCAAACGAGAGCCACUGAAGGUCAUGUCUUUUUUUUUUUUUUUUUUAGGGCCACACCCACAGCAUAUGGAAGCUCCCAGACGAGGAGUCGAAUCAGAGCUACAGCUGCCGGCCUUCACCACAGCCACAGCAAUGCCAGAUCCGAGCUGCGUCUGUCACCUGCACCACAGCUCAUGGCAACCCAGGAUCCUUAACCCACUGAGCAAGGCCAGGGAUCGAACCUGCAUCCUCACGGAUACAAGUCAGAUUGGUUUUCUGCUGAGCCACGAUGGGAACUCCCAUGUCUUAUUUUCUGUAAGCCACACAACUUAAUUUUCCUUAACAUUAAAUCUUUUGAGUAAAAACUGAGAAACGUGGCUGUAUCCCAGCUCUGGUCAACCACUCAAUCUCAGGUCCUCCACGCAACGUCAUUCAUGACUCACGAUAUACAACUGCAAGCAUGAAACUCGUACUAUCCUUACCUUUUGGAACCAGCUUACCGGGGCAACACUCGGCUGGCUUUCACACGGGAACCACUGCCACGUGUGCUCACUUCACCCUCGUGAAGCCCCUCGCUGUCUCAAUUAC